GACGAACGCUGGCGGCGUGCCUAACACAUGCAAGUCGAACGGAGCUGCUUUGAUGAAGUUUUCGGAUGGAUUUAAAACAGCUUAGUGGCGGACGGGUAAGUAACGCGUGGGUAACCUGCCUCACACUGGGGGAUAACAGUUAGAAAUAGCUGCUAAUACCGCAUAAGCGCACAGUUCCGCAUGGAACAGUGUGAAAAACUCCGGUGGUGGGAGAUGGCCCCGCGUCUGAUUAGCCAGUUGGCGGGGUAACGGCCCACCAAAGCGACGAUCAGUAGCCGGCCUGAGAGGGUGAACGGCCACAUUGGGACUGAGACACGGCCCAAACUCCUACGGGGGGCAGCAGUGGGGAAUAUUGCACAAUGGGGGAAACCCUGAUGCAGCGACGCCGCGUGAGUGAAGAAGUAUUUCGGUAUGUAAAGCUCUAUCAGCAGGGAAGAAAGUGACGGUACCUGAAUAAGAAGCCCCGGCUAACUACGUGCCAGCAGCCGCGGUAA
This 494-nucleotide ribosomal RNA is filed under the name uncultured bacterium. Its description in RNAcentral is "partial 16S ribosomal RNA". It matches the Rfam family "Bacterial small subunit ribosomal RNA", at positions 28 to 523 of the family's 1533-position model. The record is from RNAcentral.